This 468-nucleotide ribosomal RNA is filed under the name uncultured bacterium. Its description in RNAcentral is "partial 16S ribosomal RNA". It matches the Rfam family "Bacterial small subunit ribosomal RNA", at positions 28 to 507 of the family's 1533-position model. The record is from RNAcentral.
GACGAACGCUGGCGGCGUGCUUAACACAUGCAAGUCGAACGGAAAGGCCCUGCUUUUGUGGGGUGCUCGAGUGGCGAACGGGUGAGUAACACGUGAGUAACCUGCCCUUGACUUUGGGAUAACUUCAGGAAACUGGGGCUAAUACCGGAUAGGAGCUCCUGCUGCAUGGUGGGGGUUGGAAAGUUUCGGCGGUUGGGGAUGGACUCGCGGCUUAUCAGCUUGUUGGUGGGGUAGUGGCUUACCAAGGCUUUGACGGGUUGCCGGCCUGAGAGGGUGACCGGCCACAUUGGGACUGAGAUACGGCCCAGACUCCUACGGGAGGCAGAAGUGGGGAAUAUUGCACAAUGGGCGGAAGCCUGAUGCAGCAACGCCGCGUGCGGGAUGACGGCCUUCGGGUUGUAAACCGCUUUCGCCUGUGACGAAGCGUGAGUGACGGUAAUGGGUAAAGAAGCACCGGCUAACUACGUG